This 204-nucleotide long non-coding RNA is filed under the name Nicotiana benthamiana. Its description in RNAcentral is "long non-coding RNA (NBEN_LNC028492)". The record is from RNAcentral. Lineage: Eukaryota; Viridiplantae; Streptophyta; Magnoliopsida; Solanales; Solanaceae.
AUUUUAUUUAUCCUAGGUUGAGCCUUGGGUUGUUGGGGGAUGGCUUCAACUUUUUCUUUAGGCUCGUUUUUGAAACCUAUGCCACGUUUGGUCGAUUUCAAAUUGACAAGAACAUCAUUCAAAUUUUUAUGAGAAGAAUUGAACUUAUCUAGGGUGCCCUUAAGUCUUCUACUUCAUCUUUUAGAUGCAUGCAAGAAGUACAAU